CUGCUGCCUCCCGUAGGAGUUUGGGCCGUGUCUCAGUCCCAAUGUGGCCGAUCAACCUCUCAAUUCGGCUACGCAUCAUUGCCUUGGUAAGCCUUUACCCUACCAACUAGCUAAUGCGCCGCGGGCCCAUCCAAAAGCGGUAGUAUAGCCACCUUUUACAUAGUUACCAUGCGGUAACUAUGGUUAUGCGGUAUUAGCACCUGUUUCCAAGUGUUAUCCCCCUCUUUUGGGCAGGUUGCCCACGUGUUACUCACCCGUUCGCCACU
Molecule: ribosomal RNA, 266 nt
Filed under: uncultured bacterium
Lineage: Bacteria
Description: partial 16S ribosomal RNA
Source: RNAcentral